GUGAUUUCCCAGCUUAUAUACUAAAAUUAGAAAGAUGUGGAGAAGAUUAUCAUGGUCUUGGGCAAGAAUGACAAGCAAAUUUAUGCAGCAUCCAAUAUUUUU
This 102-nucleotide small nuclear RNA is filed under the name Saimiri boliviensis boliviensis (Bolivian squirrel monkey). The record is from RNAcentral. Lineage: Eukaryota; Metazoa; Chordata; Mammalia; Primates; Cebidae.